UGAGAAAUCGUGUUUCGAUAAUUAUACAGUUGUAAAAUAUUGAGAAGUAGGAUAGAUUCACAUGAAGGUGGGCCACAGGAGAGCAUAGACUGUGCAAGUACGUCGAGGAAAGUCGUCCACAAGGAUUGCAUGGACACAGUACCUUCACUUAGAUCACAUGCGAAAUUUUCUAAUAGCCAAAUUUGGUUCCGAGGAGUCAAAAACGUAUGCAACGUGUCACAGAAGAGGUGAGUGCGGAUUUCUUUAAUCCAGCAGGAGCUCAGGGAGUGUUCUGCUGAAUCUGAAGAGAUGCCUUGUAUCCACCAGAUUUUUUUCCCUGUGAACUUUCUGGAGGGUGUUGCCACACUCUAGCGAUGGGAGAAUUAGUGCAAAUAUGAAUGGAACGUUUUAUAUAUGUAGACCAACUGCUGUCAAACAUUCUUCCGAACUUGAAAGACAAGUUAGCGUAGUCGACGCAUUUGGUGUUGUCAAAAGUCAAGUAAUCCGUGUAAACUUCAUAGUUGUCGCAGGAUUAGAACAACCGGUUUCGAUUGGACGAAAAUCCGAAGCCAGAAAUUCGAGGCUUCCGAAAGACUUGCACUAGUGUGAGACAAUGUUUUGGAUGAAAAUGUGUUUUAAAGAGCAAUGGAGGCGACAAUAAUUGUAAGGGGG
Molecule: long non-coding RNA, 651 nt
Filed under: Physcomitrium patens
Lineage: Eukaryota; Viridiplantae; Streptophyta; Bryopsida; Funariales; Funariaceae
Description: long non-coding RNA (PPAT_LNC004645)
Source: RNAcentral